This 75-nucleotide transfer RNA is filed under the name Danionella dracula. RNAcentral's name for it is "tRNA-Leu". It matches the Rfam family "tRNA". Rfam says of the family: Transfer RNA (tRNA) molecules are approximately 80 nucleotides in length. Their secondary structure includes four short double-helical elements and three loops (D, anti-codon, and T loops). Further hydrogen bonds mediate the characteristic L-shaped molecular structure. tRNAs have two regions of fundamental functional importance: the anti-codon, which is responsible for specific mRNA codon recognition, and the 3' end, to which the tRNAs corresponding amino acid is attached (by aminoacyl-tRNA synthetases). tRNAs cope with the degeneracy of the genetic code in two manners: having more than one tRNA (with a specific anti-codon) for a particular amino acid; and 'wobble' base-pairing, i.e. permitting non-standard base-pairing at the 3rd anti-codon position. Lineage: Eukaryota; Metazoa; Chordata; Actinopteri; Cypriniformes; Danionidae. The record is from RNAcentral.
AUUGGGGUGGCAGAGCCUGGUAAUUGCGAAAGGCCUAAGCCCUUUAAACCAAAGGUUCAAAUCCUUUCCCCAGUU